This 253-nucleotide ribosomal RNA is filed under the name uncultured Turicibacter sp. Its description in RNAcentral is "partial 16S ribosomal RNA". It matches the Rfam family "Bacterial small subunit ribosomal RNA", at positions 524 to 776 of the family's 1533-position model. Lineage: Bacteria; Bacillati; Bacillota; Erysipelotrichia; Erysipelotrichales; Turicibacteraceae. The record is from RNAcentral.
UACGUAGGUGGCGAGCGUUAUCCGGAAUUAUUGGGCGUAAAGAGCGCGCAGGUGGUUAAUUAAGUCUGAUGUGAAAGCCCACGGCUUAACCGUGGAGGGUCAUUGGAAACUGGUUGACUUGAGUGCAGAAGAGGGAAGUGGAAUUCCAUGUGUAGCGGUGAAAUGCGUAGAUAUUAGGAAGAACACCAGUGGCGAAGGCGGCUUUCUGGACUGAAACUGACGCUGAGGCACGAAAGCGUGGGGAGCGAACAGG